AGUUUAUGGGCUUGAAAUUAAGCACAUGUUUUGAAAACAUGAGAUAGAAAUGAAAUUUUCUAUAAACUA
This 69-nucleotide transfer RNA is filed under the name Dolichosciara megumiae. RNAcentral's name for it is "tRNA-Ser". The record is from RNAcentral. Lineage: Eukaryota; Metazoa; Arthropoda; Insecta; Diptera; Sciaridae.